AUGCUCACUUUGGCAGCACAGACACUAAAACUGGAACAAGACUGAGAAAAUUGGAAAGGUCCCUGCCCAGGGAUGGCGUGAAAAUUGGUGAAGCGUUCCAUAUGUUU
Small nuclear RNA from Echinops telfairi (small Madagascar hedgehog), 107 nucleotides. Lineage: Eukaryota; Metazoa; Chordata; Mammalia; Afrosoricida; Tenrecidae. The record is from Ensembl.